Molecule: ribosomal RNA, 440 nt
Filed under: uncultured bacterium
Lineage: Bacteria
Description: partial 16S ribosomal RNA
Rfam family: Bacterial small subunit ribosomal RNA
Source: RNAcentral
CCUACGGGGGGCAGCAGUAGGGAAUAUUGCUCAAUGGCGGAAACCCUGAAGCAGCAACGCCGCGUGGGGGAAGAAGGUUUUCGGAGUGUUAAACCCUUUUGUUAGAGAAGAUAAUGACGGUACCUGACGAAUAAGCACCGGCUAACUCCGUGCCAGCAGCCGCGGUAAUACGGAGGGUGCAAGGGUUACUCGGAAUCACUGGGCGUAAAGCGGGCGUAGGCGGGAUAGCAAGUCAGACGUGAAAUUCGAGGGCUUAACCAUCGAACUGCGUUUGAAACUGUUAUUCUAGAGUACGGGAGAGGUAGGUGGAAUGCUUGGUGUAGGGGUAAAAUGCGUAGAGAUCAAGAGGAAUACUCAUUGCGAAGGCGACCUGCCGGCACAUAACUGACGUUGAUGCGCGAAAGCGUGGGGAGCAAACAGGAUUAGAUACCCCUGUAGUC